Molecule: ribosomal RNA, 497 nt
Filed under: uncultured bacterium
Lineage: Bacteria
Description: partial 16S ribosomal RNA
Rfam family: Bacterial small subunit ribosomal RNA
Source: RNAcentral
GAUGAACGCUGGCGGCGUGCCUAAUACAUGCAAGUCGAGCGAACAGACGAGGAGCUUGCUCCUCUGACGUUAGCGGCGGACGGGUGAGUAACACGUGGAUAACCUACCUAUAAGACUGGGAUAACUUCGGGAAACCGGAGCUAAUACCGGAUAAUAUAUUGAACCGCAUGGUUCAAUAGUGAAAGACGGUUUUGCUGUCACUUAUAGAUGGAUCCGCGCCGCAUUAGCUAGUUGGUAAGGUAACGGCUUACCAAGGCAACGAUGCGUAGCCGACCUGAGAGGGUGAUCGGCCACACUGGAACUGAGACACGGUCCAGACUCCUACGGGAGGCAGCAGUAGGGAAUCUUCCGCAAUGGGCGAAAGCCUGACGGAGCGACACCGCGUGAGUGAUGAAGGUCUUCGGAUCGUAAAACUCUGUUAUUAGGGAAGAACAAAUGUGUAAGUAACUAUGCACGUCUUGACGGUACCUAAUCAGAAAGCCACGGCUAACUACGUG